Molecule: ribosomal RNA, 157 nt
Filed under: Aspergillus inflatus
Lineage: Eukaryota; Fungi; Ascomycota; Eurotiomycetes; Eurotiales; Aspergillaceae
Description: 5.8 S ribosomal RNA
Rfam family: 5.8S ribosomal RNA
About the family: 5.8S ribosomal RNA (5.8S rRNA) is a component of the large subunit of the eukaryotic ribosome. It is transcribed by RNA polymerase I as part of the 45S precursor that also contains 18S and 28S rRNA. Functionally, it is thought that 5.8S rRNA may be involved in ribosome translocation.
Source: RNAcentral
AAACUUUCAACAACGGAUCUCUUGGUUCCGGCAUCGAUGAAGAACGCAGCGAAACGCGAUAGUUAAUGUGAAUUGCAGAAUUCAKUGAAUCAUCGAGUCUUUGAACGCACAUUGCGCCCCCUGGUAUUCCGGGGGGCAUGCCUGUCCGAGCGUCAUU